Molecule: ribosomal RNA, 384 nt
Filed under: uncultured bacterium
Lineage: Bacteria
Description: partial 16S ribosomal RNA
Rfam family: Bacterial small subunit ribosomal RNA
Source: RNAcentral
UGGGGAAUUUUGGACAAUGGGCGAAAGCCUGAUCCAGCAAUGCCGCGUGUGUGAAGAAGGCCCUUCGGGUUGUAAAGCACUUUUUGUCCGGAAAGAAAUCCUUGGCUCUAAUACAGUCGGGGGAUACGGUACCGGAAGAAUAAGCACCGGCUAACUACGUGCCAGCAGCCGCGGUAAUACGUAGGGUGCAAGCGUUAAUCGGAAUUACUGGGCGUAAAGCGUGCGCAGGCGGUUUGCUAAGACCGAUGUGAAAUCCCCGGGCUCAACCUGGGAACUGCAUUGGUGACUGGCAGGCUAGAGUAUGGCAGAGGGGGGUAGAAUUCCACGUGUAGCAGUGAAAUGCGUAGAGAUGUGGAGGAAUACCGAUGGCGAAGGCAGCCCCCU